Long non-coding RNA from Maniola jurtina (meadow brown), 227 nucleotides. RefSeq lists it as uncharacterized. The record is from RefSeq and is a predicted model, not a curated record. NCBI's taxonomy places the organism in Eukaryota, Metazoa, Arthropoda, Insecta, Lepidoptera, Nymphalidae. The transcript is spliced from 3 exons.
UAUUAAAUUAUACAUAUAAACCAUGCUCUUGAAUCACUCUAUCUAUUGGUGAAAACUGCAUUAAAAUCUGUUGCGUAGUUUAAAAGAUGUAAGCGUACAUACAGACAGCGGGAAUUGACUUUAUUUUAUACUACUUAUAGAUUCGUCGUCUUCUUCAAGUAUGGCAAGUGCCUCAUGUAAUGUACAACCCCUGUUGAAACAAAAAUGCCAUUACACAUGGUAACACA